AUCAUUCCAUUCAUCAGAAUUCCUUGGUUGCUCUUUCGUGGAACAUACAUCUGGUUUCUGGUGUUGAUGAUCCUCGAUUGAUUUCUGAAAACUUCUACUCAGAUUUGAAGUAGUUGAUUCAGCUGCACCCCGUUGACGCCAUGCUCCAUGCACUUUUCCCAACUUGUUCUGCCCGACGUCCCCAUUCCUGGAUUCCAUGGCAGCACUAAACAUCACAGUUGCUGUACCAUAGGUUUGGGAACUUUCAAUGCCCAAAGAACCAGACUCGGGCCUUUCAGCAGUUUCAUAUGAUGUAAUCUCAUUGCUUGAGGGAACAACUGCUUGAUGACUGCCACCUUGCUGAGAUAGUUCUUUGGCUACAUGCUUUGGAAUGUAUCUCUCCAUUUCCGCUCUCUUGUUUCUUGGAUUAUUCUGCACCUGUUGAUCACUCUUUGUGGACAGAACAGACUCAACUAAGCUAUUCUGAUUGGCUUCAUCAGAAACCUCAGUUUUAUGUUGUGAUCG
RNAcentral lists this unclassified non-coding RNA (504 nucleotides) under Hevea brasiliensis (rubber tree). Lineage: Eukaryota; Viridiplantae; Streptophyta; Magnoliopsida; Malpighiales; Euphorbiaceae. The record is from RNAcentral.